RNAcentral lists this long non-coding RNA (585 nucleotides) under Ornithorhynchus anatinus (platypus). RNAcentral's name for it is "lncRNA (ENSOANG00000042097.1)". The record is from RNAcentral. Lineage: Eukaryota; Metazoa; Chordata; Mammalia; Monotremata; Ornithorhynchidae.
GUGUGUGGUGAGGAAGGAAGAGAGGGAAGAAAUACUGCUGUCCCUCCUACGUCUUAAUGGCAAUGUUGGUAUUUGUUAAGCGCUUACUAUGUGCAGAGCACUGUUCUAAGCGCUAGGGUAGACACAGGGGAAUCAGGUUGUCCCACGUGGGGCUCCCAGUCUUUAUCCCUAUUUUACAGAUGAGGUAACUGAGGCACAAAGAAGUUAAGUGACUUGCCCACAGUCACACAGCUGACAAGUGGCAGAGCUGGGAUUUGAACUCAUGACCUCUGACUCCAAAGCCCAUGCUCUUUCCACUGAGCCACGCUGCUUCUCCAAUGGUACAUGCUACUUGGUUUCCAAAUGGCUGCGACUCUAGGACCCAUGACCAAUCCAUUAAACCAGAAGAGGAGCAAAAGCCCUAGGUGGAGGAUGGCAGUCUUGCUGAACCAGAAACCUGGAAGGAGUCAGCCAUUGCUGUGGUUUCUCACCCAGCAGUGGGAGAUCAUUCUGGCACACAUGUUUUCCAAGCGGGUCAGCGUGGUUUCUCUUCUGGUCCUCAUCAGCGACUGGACUGACAGUCGCACUGGCCCCUUCCCAACCUAA